This 23-nucleotide non-coding RNA is filed under the name Cricetulus griseus (Chinese hamster). The record is from RNAcentral. Lineage: Eukaryota; Metazoa; Chordata; Mammalia; Rodentia; Cricetidae.
ACAUGGACUUCCCUGACAAGACU